RNAcentral lists this non-coding RNA (775 nucleotides) under Staphylinidae sp. BMNH 1274251. The record is from RNAcentral. Lineage: Eukaryota; Metazoa; Arthropoda; Insecta; Coleoptera; Staphylinidae.
AAAAUAGUUUUAUUAUGGCUAAAAGUAUAGGUUUAUAAUUUAUUUACAUGUAAAUUUUUGUAUUUAUUUAUAGUGUCUUAGAAAGAUAUUAUACCUAAAUUUAUGCGCAGUAUUUAAUUUUAAUUAUUAAGGAGACUUAGAUUUAGAAAUUUAUAAAAAUAUUAACAUAAUUUGUGCCAGCAGUUGCGGUUAUACAAAUAAUAUAAUUUAUUUUUGUUAAUAUAUAAUUAAUUUAAUUAAUUUUAUAAAAAUUAUAGUUUAUUAGGUGAAAUUUUAAAUUAUAAUAAUUAUAAUGAAAGAUUUUGAAGUUAUUAAAUUUUAUUAAAAACUAGGAUUAGAUACCCUAUUAUCGAAAUGUAAAUGUUCAAGAAUUUAAUUAUUAAUAGUUAUAAUCUAAAAAAUUAAAAAUUUUGGCGGUAUUUUAAUCUAUUCAGAGGAACCUGUCCUAUAAUUGAUAUUCCACGAUUACAUAUACUUAAUUUAUUAGUUUGUAUAUCGUCGUAGUUGAAUAUUUUAUUAGAAAUUUAAUAUUCAUAAAUUUAUUUAAAAUAUAAAUCAGAUCAAGGUGCAGCUUAUAGUUAAGAAGAGAUGGGUUACAAUAAUUUUAAUUUUGAAGUAAUUUUUUAAAAUAAUUAUGAAAAUGGAUUUGAUAGUAAUUAAAUUAUUUUUGAUUUAAUGAUUUAAGCUCUAAAAUAUGCACAUAUCGCCCGUCGCUCUCAUUUAAAGUGAGAUAAGUCGUAACAGAGUAAGUGUACUGGAAAGUGUAUUUAGGUUG